Molecule: long non-coding RNA, 10670 nt
Filed under: Arabidopsis lyrata
Lineage: Eukaryota; Viridiplantae; Streptophyta; Magnoliopsida; Brassicales; Brassicaceae
Description: long non-coding RNA (ALYR_LNC002060)
Source: RNAcentral
UAAGGCCAAUUUCUCCUUAGUAUUAUGAGAAUAAAAAAGAUUACUUUUGAUUUUAAGUUUUUAAUGUAUAUGAAAAUCCCUCAGCUUCUCAGUGAUGAAGAGAUUAAAAAAGAAGCAGAGCAACGGACACCGAUGGGGCGCGUUGGAGAGGCAAAUGAAGUCUCACCGCUUGUAGCGUUUCUCUGUCUUCCUGCAGCUUCUUAUAUUACUGGUCAGACCAUUUGUGUUGAUGGAGGUCUCACUGUUAAUGGCUUCUCCUAUCAGCCACAGGCUUGAGCUAGGUCUUAUGUUGUGUGUGUUGUCCAAUGAAAACAGUUAAAAAAGAAAAUAGCAUCGGUGCUAGUGCACAAAACAUAUGAGGGUCUUAAUUAAACAUAUAUGAUACUAUACUUUCUUUUUUUUUUUUUUUUUUUUUUUUUUGAAUAAAAUGUAAAAUUUAUUCGAAAAAAUCGUUUGUACAUCAAGUGCAACUGUAGCUUAAAGCUUGUUGGCUUUACAUUUGCUAAAUGGUCAAAAGGAAAACAAGAGCAUUCCUAUCUUGUAUCAAACCAGGUUAUCAUGCAUCUCUCAUAUCUUCCGUCUCCUUUGUCUCUAAUGGUAGAGAGCUUGUUUCGAACCUCCUUGUCAAGCCUUUUUAGUAAAAGGGCUGAUGGAAGUGGUUCUUCGCCAUGUCUUCUGCUAUUCCUUUCUUUCCAUAUCGAGUACACUAGAAUUUGGAAAGCAUAUCUCAACAAAAAUAAACGAUUGUUACCCAAUGUCUUGUCCGUGAGGAGUUUGAGUAUGGUAGUCCAAUCCGUAGAGUAGUGUCUAGUUAGCAGCUUUGAGGUGAGCCCUGACCAGACUUCUCUUGAGUAUCGACAUGUGAAGAAUAGGUGAUUCCUAGUUUCCGUUUGCUCUUGGCAGAACACACAUGAGAGAUUAACCCCAGCAUUCCAACUCAUCAUUCUGUCUCCCGUUGAUAAUCGGUUCUUUGUUGCUAGCCAAGUUAUGAAGGAGUAUUUUGGGGUGGCGUGUGAGAACCAUAUACCCUGAUACCAUUCAUUACGUGGCUUUUGUUCACGAGUGUCAGCCCAUGUUUCUUUGGUGCUGAAGCUAGGCUUGAACCGGCCUCCUUUUCCUUUCCAAAGGACCACAUCCUCUGUUUCUACAAGUCCCUUAGUGCGCAGCUCUUCUAACUGUGCUUCCAUUUGGUUAAGAUGAUCAGCUCGGUGCCUCCUUCGUCUAUGUGUUAAUGCUUCUGCUACAGUGGCAUGUAUAUCAAUUCCCAUGUCAAUGCAGCCCCGUGUUCCCGAAAUCGCAAUCAACGGGCCUAGAGGUGACCAGUUAUCAUGCCAAAAGGAGACGCCCUUUCCAUUGCGGAUCUCAUACUGUGUAAAACCGGAAGCUAAGUGACGAUACUUUAGUAGCUUCCUCCACAUCCAAGACCCUAACGUUGAUGUGUCUCUUAGCGACCAGAAUGAACCCUUACGUAUCACAUAUUGCCUUAGCCAUUGUACCCACAGCGAGCUUGAUGACAACAGUCUCCAGAUAAGUUUUAGGCAACAAACCUUGUUUGCUUCUGUUAAGGAACGGAGCCCCAGCCCUCCCUCUUCCUUUGGCAUACAUACAUCGUUCCAUGAUACUUUAGCUUUUUUUCUAUUUAACUCGGGGCCGGACCAAAGAAAAGCAGAGCACAAGCCAUCUAUCUCUUUGAUGCAUGCAUUCGGUAGCCUAAAAGCGGACAUCCAAAAGUUUGUGAGACUAUGGAUCACUGAGCUUAUGAGUUGUAAACGCCCUGCGAAUGAAAGGUGUCUAGCCGUCCAGCAACUAAUUCGUUCUCGGAUUCUUUCAAUGAGAGGGAUAUAGUCACUUGUCGUCAUUCUUUUGGUUAAUAGUGGUAAGCCAAGAUAACGAACUGGUAGGGUACCUGAUUCAAAAGGAAAGGAGUAUAGAAUUAAUUCCUUGUCACUGUCUCUGACUCCCGCCAUAUAUAAUGUUGACUUCUCAAGACUGAUUUUUAAUCCAGAGAAUUUUGCAAAUUUAUCAAAGGUCUGCAAAACGCUUUCAAUAGAUCUUUUUUUUCCAUCUGUGAAUAUCAAUAGAUCGUCUGCGAAACACAAAUGUGUGAGCUUCAGAUUUUGACAUCGAGGAUGGUAGCCUAUGAUUCUCUCCAAGGCAGCGUUGUCAAGCAUUGUGGACAGAACUUGCAUACAGAUUACAAAGAGGUAGGGAGAUAAUGAGCAUCCUUGUCGAAGACCCCUCUCGCUUCAAAACAGACCAGACAAUUCACCAUUAACCUGUACUGAGAAGGAGGCGGUGGUAAUACAGAGCUCAAUCCAUUUUAUGAAUCGUGGUGGAAAAUUGAGGGCUGAUAGUGUAGUUAAGAGAAACGGCCACUGAACCGAAUCUAACGCUUUUGAUAUAUCAAUCUUUAUUGCACUCCGGGAAGAGAUCGUGUCUUUGUGGUAGUCUUUAACUAUUUCUGAUGCCAAUAAUACAUUUUCCAUCAAAAGACGAUCUUUAACGAAAGCCGACUGGUUUGGAGAUAUGAACUCCGGGAGCAGUCUUUUGAGUCUAUUUGCUAUAAUCUUUGAUAUGACCUUGUAUAUCACGUUGCAGCAAGAAAUUGGCCUAUAAUCCUUCAUCUCCGUGGCCUCUUUCUUUUUUGGUAUGAGCGCUAAGAUUGUAGUGUUUACUCCCUUAGGUAUAAAGCCAUAUAAAAAGAAAGAUUGUACUGCAACUUCAAAAUCUUUCUUUACUAUUGGCCAUGCUUCUUUUAAAAACAUCACAGUAUAUCCAUCCGGCCCCGGACUUUUAUCCCUUGGCAUGGAGAAUAAUACUUCCCUGAUUUCCUCUAUAGAUACAUCGCUUUCAAGCUGCAUCCCAUCUGCUUCGGAACAUCUGUAUUUCACUAAAUCUCGUAUCUCUUCCUCUGAUAUACCCUGGUAGUGAGCUGGUUUGUGAGCCAAAAAAUCAUGGAAAAAUCUUUCAGCCUCUUUCUUGAUCUCUUCUUGAGUGUUGACUAUAGUACCAUCAGGGCAUUUGAUUUCUUUAAUCGCAUUACGAACUUCCCUAACCUUUGCAGCCUUGUGAAACACCUUAUUAUUACCAUCUCCAACUUUCAACCAGUGAAGUUUUGAUUUUUGUUUCAGCACUUUCUCCUCCAAGUCCGACAAAUGCAACCAACGACUGUGGGCUGCAGCUUCUGCUUGCAUUGUCGUAUUUGUUGGAUUUUGCAUCCAAGAAAAACAUGUUACUGACACCAAUUUCCCAUUAUUUAUUUUGCUUAUGCAGAGGUAUUAUAUAUAUGUAAUCUCCAAGUGAAUCAUGAGAAUGUUCUUAGACUUCUCUACUAUCUUAGAGAUUAGUUCUCGUCUAAAUCCUAACUAAGAUAAAAAUUAGCAUAGUUGUUAAAUCCAAGACGUGCCAUACCAAAAGAACUAGCUGGUUUUGUUAUUAGGAAUCUCACAUUUAUAUAUCAAGAGAGCAACGGCCUAAUCCUCAGAAUCUCUCCCUUCUUGCUUCUUCGUUUAGAGUGUUCCAAACUCAGUAUUACUACUCUCCUGUAAUAUGCUCUGUUCUAAGUCUUUUUGUUGGCGUAACUCAUGUUAGGAGGCACCAUAUAUUUCGGCUGCAGGUUCCAUCGUUUUGGAAUGCAGUAUUUUUAUAAAAAGGUAUUUGAUAUAUAAAAAAAAGAUGUGAUAGAGAGAUUUCUUUCUUCUUUAGUGGAUUUCAGAGGGCAAAACGCAAAAACCAAUUGGCUUUGGCUCAUGGGGUUCUUCCCGUUAGAGAGGAUCAUAUAUAUUCCCAAUUGUAAAGUCGAUGAACCCUAUUGGGUCUAGGGUUAUGAUUCCACAAGAAGAUCCACAAGCUUCUUCUACUCCAAAGCCAAUUGGCAAACAAUAGCAUAACUCAGGCUUCUUAUAUACCAGAUUAAAUUCUUAUAUGUUUCCGAUGUGGGACUCAUUAAGGUUAAUUUUCUUGCCGAUAUUAUUUUUACACGUUCACGUAACUUAAACCUCAAGUAAUUUGUAUUGCCCUAAGGUGAGACCAAAACCUUUAGUGGGCUUAUGGGCCAAAAUAAGCCCGCUUGAUAAGAGAAGCUUCCGCUAAAAACUAGGUCUGGGCUUUCGGUUAACUGUUCGGUUAUCGGUUGGGUCCAUUCGGUUUCGGUUCUUUCGGUUCUAAAAUUUAGUAUCCAUUCGAAUAUUUUGAAAUUUCGGUUCGGUUUCGGUUCGGUUCCGGUUCUUUCGGUUUUAAAAUUUAAGGGGGUUAUUGGAUCAUUGAUUUGAAUGGAUUUGGAAAUCCAAGUAAAAUUAUGUGUUAUUCAAUCAUUGAUUUUAAAUUUUUUAUAAAAAUCAUGUGUUAUUGGUUCUAUGAUUUACAAAUACUUUUUAAAAUCACCCCAUAUUCAAUAUUGAAGAUUUGAGUAUGGAUUUGACUUCAUAUUGGAUUUGAAUGGAAUUGAAUAUAUGUUUUACUUAUAAAUAGAGUGAUUGAAAUCCUUGGGUUCCACCUAGUUAUUUGGGUGGAUUUGGAAGAAAACAAUAUUAGCAGUUUCUAUUUUCCUUGAUUUUUUAAUUAUCAUGUCAUUUACUUGUAAGAAAAGUUUUACGAGUUAUAUUUUUUGUGUCACAGGUGUACAUCAUCAAACAUGGAUCAAGCCCAUCAUGGAGAUCAAGAAGUCCUUGAAGAAAGAGAAAGAAAUGCAUUACAUGAUGACGAGUUGGAUGCUGAUAUUAUUUUGUUGGUGCUAUUUGGAAGACACCAUUCGGUUAUUUUGCUUAGAAUAUUUUCGGAUAUCUCGGUUAUUUUUGAGUAUUUUCGGAUAUUUUUGGAUAUAUUUCGGUUAUUUUCGAGUAUUUUUACUACUUUUAUAAAAUUUUCAAGUAUUUUUGAUUAUUUGAUCUAUAAAUAACUAAUUAUUUUGAAAAUAUAAUUGUAUUUCGGGUAUUUCGGUUACCCGAAAGAUUUCGAUUCGGUACCGAUUCGGUUACGGUUAUUUCGGUUAUAAAAUUUAGUAUCCAUUCGGUUAUUUUCAAAUGUUCGGUUCGGUUAUUUUUGCUUCGGUUUCGGUUCGGUACAUUCGAUUCGGUUUAUUUGCCCAGGCCUACUAAAAACCCAUGCACGUAGCUUUCUCUGUUUCUCCACUUCGUUGGAUCAAAUUCAAUAGAAUGAAACUGAUCCUGAAGAUUUCUUGGUGAAUCCUAAUUAAACGAAUUGAUUUUAGAACUAUGAAUGGAGCUACGCAAUAAUAUAGUUGUCUUGAUUAAUAUUACAAUAUACAAAAAAAUGAUUUGAAAUAGAAAGCUUGAUCAGUUGGCAACUUUGGAUUUUUAGGUCAAGCCUUAAAACUACAUUCAUUUUGGGACUAAGAAACCUAACCAGAAGAUGUUUCUGGUAAGAGACUAAGAGUAAGCCUAGCAGUAACAGAACAGACGAAAGCAGAGAAGAGCACAACUUGGACUCAAAUGAGAAGAUGGACUUCGAAACUCAUCGCCUAUCAUGCCCAAAGACAGAAUCAUGUGGCAUUACACCAUGCUUUAAAUAUUAAAAUCCCUAUGCAAUGAUGACUCAAUGGACAUCUUCUCUCUCUUACUACUACAUAAAUUCUCAUCCACACAUACAAACAUACUCAAUAUUUCACACUUAUCUGAUCCCAUACUCAAUAAUUCAUUUCUAUAUAUAUAAUAUGUGGCAUUUCUGGUCCCUGCUAGUAACAACCAAGAAAAAUGGAUAAAAGAUGGAGUCUUCAAUGUAUGACUGCUCUUGUCACCGGUGCAGCCAGCGGAAUCGGGUUCGUCUUACUUCUCUGUUCUCUAUAUCAUAUUUUUAGCUCAUUGUUCUGCUUAUAUUUCACAUCCUAAUUUUCAAGAAAGUAAUUUAUGUUUCUGAAAAUGUUUUAGAUAUGCCAUAGUAGAGGAGUCAGCUGGUUUUGGAGCUAGAAUCCAUGUAUGCGACAUCUCUGAAACUCUUCUCAAUCAAAGUUUAAGUGAAUGGGAAAAGAAAGGGUUUCAAGUGAGUGGUUCAGUCUGUGAUGUAACUUCUCGUCCCGAUAGAGAAAAACUGAUGCAAACCGUUUCCUCGCUGUUUGAUGGCAAACUCAACAUUCUUGUAAGUAAACGAUCUUAUAGAAAUGCCAAGCAUAGUUGUUUAAAUGGAGCUCCUUAAAAUAAAUCUUAAUAUAUAGGUAAACAAUGUUGGUGUACUUCGCGGGAAGCCAACAACGGAAUAUGUGGCAGAUGAUUUCUCUUUUCACAUCUCAACAAAUUUGGAAGCUGCUUUCCAUUUUAGCCAGCUUUCACAUCCUCUCUUAAAGGCUUCAGGAUUUGGAAGCAUCGUCUUUAUGUCCUCUGUCACAGGGAUUGUAUCAGUUGAAUGUGGAUCCAUUUAUGGUCUAACGAAAGGUAACCAAGUUGCUACUAGAGGAAGUUUAUUGCAAGACUGACUAGUCAAGAAGUAGUUUUCAAUUUUUGUUUUUUUUUUUCUGUUGAUUUCUUUUAUAGGAGCUUUGAAUCAGUUAACUAGAAAUUUGGCAUGUGAAUGGGCAAAAGAUGGCAUAAGAGCCAAUGCUGUUGCACCUAAUGUUGUCAAGACUCCUCUGUCUCAAUCUGUAAUAAAAAAAAGACAACAUUUACUCUUUUUUUUAUGUGAAUGUAAUUAAUCUCAAUUCCUCUAAUUAUUUCUUAAUUGUGUGUUCUUGAAGUAUCUCGAGGACGUCGGUUUCAAGGAGGCAUUAUUUGGUAGAACUCCACUUGGUUGCGCUGGAGAGCCGAAUGAAGUUGCAUCACUAGUGGUCUUCUUGUGUCUACCUGCAGCUUCUUAUAUUACUGGUCAAACCAUUUGUGUUGAUGGAGGCCUCACGGUUAAUGGUUUCUCCUAUCAACCACAGGCUUGACGCUUGAGAAUGGCUUUGUGCUCUCAAAGUUCUAGAUCUAAUAUAAAUUGUCACUCUAUGAGUUUAUACACGUAAACAUAAAUGAGUUUGCAAUUCCAUUUUGGAGAUGCUAAUCUCGCUUAGAUAGAAGAUUCGAGUACACCUGCAACACCAACAUCUUGUGGCAAUGUUUCUCUCAUAAAUCAAAAUGUUAUAUGUUUCAAGUCAUCUAUAUACGUCCCGAUGCAAAAUAACUGGAUACAAAUAUCUGAGAAAAAAAAUUGAGAAUUGUAGCAAUGAUAGGAUAUAUUACCGUCUAUGUCACUGAUUUUAAAUGUUAAUUGUAAUACAACAUGAUUAAUAUUGUACUUAUUUUUUGUUGUUGUUGCUCCGUCUAUUUCACUGAUUAUACUUAUUUAUUGUUGUUGUUCCGUGUAUGUCGUGUUUUAUCUGUUUGUCUUAAACUUCGUGUUUUAUUUUGUGAUGUAUUUGAUUCUACACGACAAGAAUGACCUUGUCCAGUUUCUUGUGAUUUGUUUGAUUAUUUCUCUAUUACAGUAAUCCCACUUGCGAAUAAUUCGCGAGCAAGGCACGAACCUCCAUACCGGUUUUGGUUCUCCCAAAAAAUAAAAACUAUCAAAGGAACACCUUACUUUGUCACGUUUGUUUUUAAAUAUUUGCACUCACUAGCAAAAAGUUGAGUGGUAUUUAAGAUCUUAAAUAGUAAUGGAAUUAUGUAAGCAAUCAAAAUACUAUUUUGCUGAUUAUUUUUGGAAAAAUUUGGACAUUUUUUCACCUGUUAUCUAAUUUGUACGUGGUAGAUGGGGAUGAAAUAGAAUGGCCUGUUAUACAACUCUUCAGAUCCAUGGUUUCUGGAGAUUUAGACUUUAUAUAUCCAUCCAAACAUCAAGAUAUCCGCGAUUUCAGUUAUAGAUCCGUUGAAAAUAUGAUAAUAAUAAAAUAUGAAAAUGUCUAAAAAAUUAUUAAAUAGUAUUUUCAAAAAUAAAAUCUGAUAUAUAGUAUAAAUAAUUUAAAUUCUAUGUGUUCUUAUAUAGAAAUAACAGAAUAUAUGUAAAUAUAUACUUAAAUUAUCUUUAAUAUAUUUAAUGAAUAUAGUUCCGACUAUCCGAAGCUGAAAAUUCGAAUAUCCGGGUUCGGUUUGAUGGAUCUAAGAUUUUAUAAGAAGUGAACCCUCUUUCAAAGUUUUCCAUUAAUAUUUUAUCUACUCUGAUUCUAUAUAUGUUAUGUAUUUGUGGUCAUUGCUAGGCAAAACAAACAAAAAAUGGAUAAAAGAUGGAGUCUUCAAAGUAUGACUGCUCUUGUAACCGGUGGAGCCAGCGGAAUCGGGUUCGUCUUUCUUCUCUCUAUAUCAUUUUUUUAACCAUUGUUUUGCUUGUUUAACAUGUGCUUUUUUUUUGUGGGAUACUUUAGGCAUGCCAUAGUAGAGGAACUAGCUGGUUUUGGGGCAAAAAUCCAUGUAUGUGACAUAUCAAAAACUCUCCUGGAUCAAAGUUUAUGUGAAUGGGAGAAGAAAGGAUUUCAAGUGAGUGGUUCGGUCUGUGAUGCAUCCAAUCGUCCCGAAAGAGAAACACUUAUGCAAACUGUUACCACGAUAUUCGAUGGCAAGCUUAACAUUCUUGUAAGUUAAUCUUAAUUUAAAGAACCCAAGAUUUAUCUUUAGACUAUGAAGAAAUGACAUGUAUAGUAGGAUAUAUCUUACUCUUUUCUGUUCAACAAAUGUGAACAACGUUGGCACAAUUCGCACAAAGCCAACAAUAGAAUAUGUGGCAGAAGAUUUCUCGUUCCAUAUUUCAACAAAUUUGGAGUCUGCUUAUCAUCUAAGCCAACUUUCACAUCCUCUUCUAAAGGCUUCAGGCUAUGGAAGCAUCGUCUUUAUAUCCUCUAUUGCAGGGAUUGUAUCAUUUGAUGCUGCAUCCAUUUAUGGUCUAACGAAAGGUAACUAGGGUUAAUUGCAAGACUGACUAAUCAAUAGAGAGAUUUUCUCCAUUAUACUAGACGAAAUAGUAUUGUGCAUUUAUGUAUAUAUACUAGAUUUUAACCCGCGGUAUACCGCGGGGCUAUAAUUUUUUUAAGAAAAUCAAAAUAUAAUUUUUUUUUUGGUCAGGGAUCAAAAUAUAAUUUAUUUAAUAGAUUAUUUAUAUAUAUAACCUAUUAUUUAGUAUUUUAAAAAUGUACAUAUAUAUAUAUAUAUAUAUUAUUAAGUGUACAGUUACAAUGUUUUAGAUAGCUUCAUCGGAUUAUAUAUAUAUAUAUAUAAAGAUUGACUCGUGGUAUACCGCAGGACUAUAUUUUAAAAAAUAGUGAAAUGUAAAUAAUUUGAAGUUUAUAUAUAGAUAUAAACGAUUAUAUUGUAUUUUUUAAAUACAUAUAUAGUGUAUGACCCGUAUAAUGAUUUAUAUACAUCUAUAUAUUUGCAAUCUAAACUAAAUCAGAAUCUAAUAUAUCAAAUCAGUAUGUUAGAAGAUUAUGCUACAAUUACAAUUGUUAUUAUAAUUUAAUUCUUUCUUUAAGUUUGUUGGUAUGAUUAUAUUGGUGGGAUUUUGUGUUGAUAAUGAAUUUGAUAAGUAAUUAGUUGAAAUAAGAUAUUUCAGAAUUUUAAUUCUAAAAAGAAACUGCGGAGAUUUUUUUAUGGAGAAAAAUCAUUAAUUUAUUUCUUAAAAUCGUUUAGUUAGAGAUAUUGGAAGAAAUUUUGGAUGUGAAAUUUUAAAAAGUAGUCGUGGAGUAAUUAUGGAGAGAUUUGUGGCAAUGUUUGUUUACUGGUAAAUCUUUUAUUUAAAUUUGGUGUAUUUAGUUGUAGAAAUCUUGGAAAAAACGAUUUUAGAAAGAAACUGUGGAAACUUUUUUGAGAGAUUUUUGGCAAUAUUGUUUGUUGAGUGCAAUAUUCUUUCCAUCUUUUAUUUGAUAUUUUUAAACAAAAAAAUUAAUUCCAGUGGCAUGACCUCGUAAAUACUUCUCAACUCUAGGAUUUAUUUGCUAAAUGUAUUCCAAAAAUAUAUAUAUAGAUGAACUUAUAUAUCUGAUUAGGAGAAUUUUUAAUUACGUUUAAUAUAUCUAAAUGAUGUUAAUUUGAUGCGGAAAAGCAGAAUUUAAUGUUGAGAGAUACAUUAAUAAAUUAUAUUAGUGUGGUAUGCAAAAUUCAUGAUUUUUCAACCCCAAAACCAGUUGGGAUGAUUCGAUUGACCAAACUGUCAAAAUAUAGGGUUUUCAAUCAUAUACUAUUUUAAACCUAUUUUUAAUUAGGUUGAUGAAUCAUAAAGCUUGUUCUAAAUGGUUCCUAAUUAAUCUUUCUCCAAAACACACUUCCAACGGCUUGAUAUAUAGUCCUAAUGUCACACGAUAAUAUAAAAGCUUUGUAUUUCUACAUUAGGUAAAAUUUUCUAUGGGAUUCGUAAUAAUCAUUAUAUUGUGUUUAUGUCCAGGAGCUUUGAAUCAGCUAGCAAGAAAUUUGGCAUGUGAAUGGGCAAAAGACGGCAUAAGAGCUAAUGCUGUUGCUCCUAAUUUUAUCCGCACUACUCUGGUUCAAGCUGUAAUCAAUACACCCUCACGCUUUUUCAUAUAUUUGUUCUUUUGCUGUUAACAUCAUCCACUUCUUAUUCUUGUUUUUUACAAUCUUGUAAACAAUCAGUUUCUCGAAGACGCCGGUUUCAACGAGAGUUUGUCCAGUAGAACUCCACUUGGUCGCGUUGGAGAACCAAGAGAGGUUGCAUCACUUGUGGCUUUUCUGUGUCUACCUGUAGCUUCAUAUAUUACUGGUCAGACCAUUUGUGUUGAUGGAGGUCUUACUGUUAAUGGC